AUGGUGAUGGGGCAGGAAGCUCACUUGAAAUCUCAGGAUGUUGCUGAAAUCCGAGGAGGUUCACGACCAUUGGUCUACAACCACAAAAUUGCAGGCACAAAGAGGUACACAAGGCUGCAGGGGAAGAUGAUGGGCAAGAAGGCCACGAAGUCGACGCUCAUCUUUGUCGAGGAGUGCGGACUCACCGGCCCUCUCACUCAGGAUCAGUUCCUCAAGGAGCGGGAGCAUGCUCCAGGGCCUCUCUUCCUCGUGCGGCCUGGUGAGAACGGUUUGUCUGUAGGCAUCAUCAUAAAACAGAGGAGACAAUAUUGCUUUCCUGGAGUCAGAGCUAGUGUACUUGUCUAA
Molecule: ribosomal RNA, 345 nt
Filed under: Triticum aestivum (bread wheat)
Lineage: Eukaryota; Viridiplantae; Streptophyta; Magnoliopsida; Poales; Poaceae
Description: partial small subunit ribosomal RNA
Source: RNAcentral